GGUCAUAGGAGUAUCGCUGAACUUCUCAUCCGUAAAGGAGCCAAUACUGGUAUUAAAAAUGAUGCGAAUCUUGUACCCCUUCAAAUAGCUGUUAAUAAUGGUUACGAUGAUGUCGCCAAACUUUUUAUCGGUAAAGGAAACAAAGUUAAUAUUGAAGAGCAAUUGGGAUAGAUUGCAUUGGUCACUAACAAUGGUGACGAAUAGCUGAACCAAUUGAGCUGAAUUAUUGGAUGAUUUCCUUUGAUUCCCCUUUUCGAUUGUAGUGUAGAAUAAAUUUUAAUUUUUUUUGUCAAUCUAUGACCAUACAA
Long non-coding RNA from Sitodiplosis mosellana (orange wheat blossom midge), 308 nucleotides. RefSeq lists it as uncharacterized. NCBI's taxonomy places the organism in Eukaryota, Metazoa, Arthropoda, Insecta, Diptera, Cecidomyiidae. The record is from RefSeq and is a predicted model, not a curated record. The transcript has 3 exons.